RNAcentral lists this ribosomal RNA (266 nucleotides) under uncultured bacterium. RNAcentral's name for it is "partial 16S ribosomal RNA". It matches the Rfam family "Bacterial small subunit ribosomal RNA", at positions 28 to 301 of the family's 1533-position model. The record is from RNAcentral.
GAUGAACGUUGGCGGCGUGCUUAACACAUGCAAGUCGAACGCAGAUAGCAAUAUUUGAGUGGCGCACGGGUGAGUAACACGUAGCUUACCUACCCUGGAGAGUGGGAUAACGGUUCGAAAGAGCUGCUAAUACCGCAUAAGCUCACGAGCUCUAGAGGCUUGGGAGAAAACGGGGAAACUCGCUUCAGGAGGGGGCUGCGGCCCAUCAGCUAGUUGGUGAGGUAAAGGCUUACCAAGGCGACGACGGGUAGGGGACCUGAGAGGGU